Clupea harengus (Atlantic herring) is the source of this 1044-nucleotide long non-coding RNA. NCBI's taxonomy places the organism in Eukaryota, Metazoa, Chordata, Actinopteri, Clupeiformes, Clupeidae. The record is from Ensembl.
AAAGCAGAUUGAGCAUUAGAACUGUACGUCUUUCAAGGAAUGACAGGCUGAACAGACAGACUGCAGCCCAGACUGAAUGCAGUACAGUCUUGCCUUGUGGGGGCAAGGGCAACUGUGUCCCCAUCUCCCCUCUUGAAGCGAGCCAACGGACAGUCAUUCCUUCAUUCGUCCAUUCAAGCCCUGAAUUGCUCCUUCUGGGUCGCCAUUGGUGAGGAGACAGAGGUCGUCCACAGAAGAGGUGUCUAUGCGACCCCGCCAGACGAACAGACUCGGCUUUGUCUGGCUCCCUGACAAACCGCCGGGGCCACCCAGGGUCAUUAGUCAUCAGGGGGGAGAUGACACACUCAUCGAGGAGAUGGAGCAGCUCCUGGAAAGAGAGUGUGUGCGAGGCCGGGGUCGAAGAGGCGUCGCAUCCCGUGAUGAUGUGUUGAGUUUGUCACAGUAUGUUAAGCGGAUCAUUAUCUUGUUAUCUACCUGGUUUCGGAGUGGGAUAGUGUCACAUCGAUUUCAUUUUUUUUUUUUUUUUCUCUCAUUUCAUUUUACUGCCCCAUCGACAGGCAGGCUUGACCAAUGAUCUUGGAGGAGCCGUACUCGCCGCUUGCCACUGUUGGCAUUCAUUUAUUAGAUUUCUCUGAUGGACUAACAGCCACGUGAGGAAAUAUAAACUCCUGCCAUUACCAGAAAGCUGAGAGCUAUUGAUAAAGGACGUUUCUCAGAGGGGAACGGAUCUCCUCUUUUGUAGCAUUCCCCAAAGCAACAUGAGCACUAUCACAGAGAGAGAGAGAGAGAGAGAAUUAUAGUUUAAAGGCGAAAGAAGAAGAAGAAGCAGGCUUAAGAAUAAUGAAGAGACGCAUUAGAGGGGUGGAGAAGGAUUUUAAAAAUAAGUAUGUCUAACAGGCAUGUAAUGAUAGGGGAAGAGAGAGAAAGAGAGAGAGAAGAGAGAGAGAGUGAGCAGAGUGUGCAAAUGGUUAGAAAGGGAGAGAGAAAGGGAGAGGUGAACCCAAGAGACAAUCUUGCUUUUUUUCCUCUUGCUCUCUCACUCAC